GUAGCCAGGUUUUAAAUGCUUUAACUUUUAAAAAAUGUAAAUUUUUGUAUGUUUAUAGCUUCUAAAUAUGAAAGUUAAAGAAUGUACUGUGAUGAAAUGUUCAGUAUUAUGUUGCUUCUCAGUAUCAUGUUGCUUCUCAGUAUUGUGUUGCUUCUGAUUCUAUGAAUGUUCAUUUUAAGACCCCUUGUUGAAAUGGGACAGUUGGCAGCGGCUCUGAUGAGCCCGAGAAGAGGCCUGCCCUUGGGUGCGGAGUCUCCCUCCGCACGAUGCUCCCACGCGUCCAACUUGCACCCAAGGGGCUUUUCCCUCUUCCAAGUGGACUCCUUCAAGGAAGCUGCAGCUCGGUCAGCAGAGAAGGGGCCUGCCGCCAGCGCCCUGGAGGAAGAGGAAGAGGAACCCAAGAGGAUGGCUUGUCUCCCAGCAGCCACACCGGCUUUGUGCUCAGCCAGUUCAUUUGAGUUUGCAUGUUUCUCUGCACUAUGGAUUUUGAGCAUUUAGAUUUCUUUAAUCAAAAGCGUUUUAGUGACUCCAGUAGACAUUUUCUUUCUGAGGCAUCGUGCUUUGCAUGAGAGCAGGCCAAGGUUGAGGGGAAAAGUAAAGUUAAAGUCGGUUCUCUUUCAUAGCAACACGUAUUGUCUGACAUUCAGCCAGCUUUUUUUUUUUCUAAUAAUUUCUGUGCCUUUCUGUCCUGUAUUUACUGUAUUUAGAAAAAGCAGCUAGAAUAUUUCUCCAUUAACUCUUGAGAUUCACAGGACUGUCUAGCUCUGAGUCCUAGCAAUAGACUCCUUAGAGGAGUAGUACGUUUAUCUAGAUUUUCUCUAGAUAAUGCAGGCGGAAGACCUGGGUUCCCGGGUGGGGCAUUGCAGUUCUUCCUGUGUUUGGCUUCCAGGAAUUACAUGAACGACAGCCUUCGCACCGACGUCUUCGUGCGGUUCCAGCCAGAGAGCAUCGCCUGUGCCUGCAUUUAUCUUGCUGCCCGGACGCUGGAGAUCCCUUUGCCCAAUCGUCCCCAUUGGUUUCUUUUGUUUGGAGCAACUGAAGAAGAAAUUCAGGAAAUCUGCUUAAAGAUCUUGCAGCUUUAUGCUCGGAAAAAGGUUGAUCUCACACACCUGGAGGGUGAAGUGGAAAAAAGAAAGCACGCUAUCGAAGAGGCAAAGGCCCAAGCCCGGGGCCUGUUGCCUGGGGGCACACAGGUGCUGGAUGGUACCUCGGGGUUCUCUCCUGCCCCCAAGCUGGGCUGGAGUGCAAUGGCGCUGUCUCAGCUCACUGUAACCUCUGCCUCCCGGGUUCAAGCGAUUCUCCUGCCUCAGCCUCCCAAGUAGCUGGGAUUGCAGUGGAAUCCCCCAAAGAAGGUAAAGGGAGCAAGCCUUCCCCACUGUCUGUGAAGAACACCAAGAGGAGGCUGGAGGGCGCCAAGAAAGCCAAGGCGGACAGCCCCGUGAACGGCUUGCCAAAGGGGCGAGAGAGUCGGAGUCGGAGCCGGAGCCGUGAGCAGAGCUACUCGAGGUCCCCAUCCCGAUCAGCGUCUCCUAAGAGGAGGAAAAGUGACAGCGGCUCCACAUCUGGUGGGUCCAAGUCGCAGAGCCGCUCCCGGAGCAGGAGUGACUCCCCACCGAGACAGGCCCCCCGCAGCGCUCCCUACAAAGGCUCUGAGAUUCGGGGCUCCCGGAAGUCCAAGGACUGCAAGUACCCCCAGAAGCCACACAAGUCUCGGAGCCGGAGUUCUUCCCGUUCUCGAAGCAGGUCACGGGAGCGGGCGGAUAAUCCGGGAAAAUACAAGAAGAAAAGUCAUUACUACAGAGAUCAGCGACGAGAGCGCUCGAGGUCGUAUGAACGCACAGGCCGUCGCUAUGAGCGGGACCACCCUGGGCACAGCAGGCAUCGGAGGUGAGGCGGGGUUGCAGUGACUGGUGGCCGCAAGCCCUUCCCUGGGGAGUACCUGAUGGCUGCCCUUUGACCCCCGGUGGCUGCCCUUUGACCCCCGGGUGUGCUCUCAGCGCAAGUGGUCCUAGAACAGGAUUCUUUUUGGAAAUGUCUGUCGACUGGACCUUGGUGGAUUUGGAAAUGGAACUGAGGGACCGGUGACACGUGCUUCAGACCGGUCUGGGGUGCGGCGCACACCUGGGCCCGUGCAGGGCUCAGCUCGGCAGCAGCUCUGAGGGCAGCUCAAUGAAAAAGUGAAUGCACACGCCCUUGUUGGCGUGGCCUGGCAUGGCCUGGUGCUAUCGGCAGCCGCUCUCCACUCCCCGACUGAUACUCAAUUACGUGAAGCCAAGAAAGAUGAUUUUUAGAACCUUUGCCUAUAUUAGGUUGUACUUAUGUACAUAUUUUGCAGUGUUUCACAGGAGAAAGUGGCCUUAACUGCCCCUUAUUCUCUCUCCACGUUGUAAAUAAACAUGUGUUUAAUACAAGUUAAAGCUAUGUAUGAAAACUCAGAACUUGAAUCCCGUCAGCUUAAAACUUGUGUAGGGAAUCCUGACUUUUAAAAUGUGAGGGUAUUUGGAUCUGUGUUGAAAGUCGUAUAUUUUUAUCUGUGCGGUGCUGAGUGCAGGCCACCAGCUCCUAAAUAGAGGUUCCCUAUAUGCGCGUAUGACAUGGUGAAUAAACACAACUCUCUCCA
RNAcentral lists this long non-coding RNA (2620 nucleotides) under Homo sapiens (human). RNAcentral describes it as "non-protein coding lnc-MRPL20-1:4". Lineage: Eukaryota; Metazoa; Chordata; Mammalia; Primates; Hominidae. The record is from RNAcentral.